RNAcentral lists this long non-coding RNA (12249 nucleotides) under Sorghum bicolor (sorghum). RNAcentral's name for it is "long non-coding RNA (SBIC_LNC003252)". Lineage: Eukaryota; Viridiplantae; Streptophyta; Magnoliopsida; Poales; Poaceae. The record is from RNAcentral.
AGGACUCUACCAAAGGUUAUAUGAUUAAGACCAAUGUGAAAAUAUCUAGGAAAAAUAUGGUCUUGUAGGGCUAGGUCUAAACCAGAAUUUAUAGGAAGAUUAACAUAUUCCCUAGGUGUAGCUAAAAGUGCAAUAUCUUUUUGAUUAAAAGAUAGGACCUCGGCUAUAGAAAAGGGUUGGUUUUGACCUAUUGCAAUCAACUCCGGACACAGAUCAUAAUUAGGGGCAGGACGUGUUGACUCCCAUGGUCUAUGGCUGGUCUCCGAAGGUGCAAAGAAUUCAAUAAUAGGUAUGGAAUUUGAGUUAUCCAUAAAGAUGGAAAAAAUAAAAAGAUAAAAGAAUAAAAGUAUAAAAGUAUAAUACGAGAUAAUAGCAAGACUCAAAGUUAUCUCAGCAAACCGUCUUUCUCCCCGGCAACGGCGACAGAAAUGCUUGUUGAUAUUUGGUAACGCAAUUAGAAAAUGAUCCGCAAGCGCACAUAUAUCGGUGAGCAUUUCACCCGGGAGGUUUUCCAGAGUAUCGUAUUUAUAUUUUUACCACUAGGAGAAAGGGUGCAUCUGACUAACCAAAUCUAUUGCUACUACCCCUUUAGGCUACAAAGAAUGUUUCUCGAUGUGAGUGAUGUAUAGAGAAGACUGCAACCGUAGUCUCGUUCUAACCUUGGUAAGGAUGAUCUACUGUUCUAUUGGGGAGGCUCACGGAAUCUAGACAACACAAAGGAUGUUCAACCCGCACCUAUAAACCUACCCGUCCUGCUAACAAGAUAUGGGAUACAAAGGUAACUCGGAAAUGUCAUGUUCCUCGCUACUACCACGGUCCAGCUAGUCAGGGGAUAUCUAUGAGUACCCUAGCCUAAACACCACGUUUACGCCAGCAAUGAUUACUCUAAUACUCAACCGGAAGAGGAUUAAAGUAAACUCAUAAACCAAAGAACAAUAAAACAAUAACUUACUAGCAUUAGAAGUCGAAUUACUGAAGAAUCUUAGAAGCAAGCCUCGGGUGGUUAGGAGACUUGAUCCCGUAGGUACAACUCGGAGUAGACACCGACAGGCCGGCCUUCCUCCAAUCCACACCUCCACUCUAUCUCUCUCAAUCUAGUAGAAACUAGAAGAUCUAUUUCUACUUUACAUUGGUUGCUAAGCCUAAAAAGAAAUAUUAUUUAGAGAAGAGGUUUUCCUUCGAGGGCACCCCUCAAUCUCUAUGAUAAUCUCUUGUCUCCUCCAGGGGCCAGAGGGGGUCUCCUUAUAUAGUCCUCCCCUUCUAUGCGUUUUUAGGUCGAUAGGCGAGGUGGUACUAUGUUAUUCUAGAUCCAAUAGGUCGGUGGAACGUCGUGUGCGAAGAGAGUCCGGAACGGAGUCCAGAGGUGGGCGGGCGCCCAGGUCCUCAGGGCGGGCGCCCUGGGCCUGGCCCCUUUCGGGCUCCGCUUCCUUCCCGUGGCUUCUGGAGUCUUCUAGAUGGUAGAAAAUUGCGCGGUGGGUUGAUAUCUCUAUGUUAUCCCGAUAUGUGGGCCUUUCUUCCUUAUUUCCUGAUAACCCCCUGGAGAAAUAGACAAACACCAAAACUCGUGGAAUUCUGUCAGAUAAAACCCUAAGUCUAGAUGUUGAUUUCAUUUGGAUCCUUUUCUUUGUUUAUUUGAUAAUUAAAUUUGAUACUUAAGGACCGUCAACAGUAUUGCAUUGCUUGUUUGCUCUCUCCUUGUCGGUGGGGUUAGCGGGAUCAAGGAUCACAAAAUCAUUUUCCAUCACUUCCCACACUCUAUCAUUUAUUGAUCCAAGGUACAUUUUCAUUUUUCUUUUCCAAUAGUCAAAAGAUCUUGUGCCAUCAAAGAACGGUGGCUUGCCCCCAACAUGGUUGAACACUAUUUGAGCUAUAAUUUGAGCACCGAGGUUGUUAAGCCUUCACAAAACGGUGACCACGGCUCCGAUACCACUUGAAACAUCCUAAUAUGGCUAGAGGGGGGUGAAUAGCCUAUUUAAAAAUUCUACAAACUCACUAGAGCAAGAGGUUAGUAAAUAACAAAGCGAAGCUUUUUGCUCUAGCUCUAAAGGGGUGUUUGCAAGCCACCUAUCCAACAAUUCUAGUUGAUAUAAUCACUAGGCACACAAGAGCUAUGUCACUACUUACACUAGAAAGGUACCUAAAGUUUCUAUACAAGUAAGUAAUCUACUCUUGUUUGCGGGAAGGUAAAAAGAGAUAGUUUGAUAUUUAUACCGCCACGUAGAUGGGAUGAACCAAUCAAUAAUAUGAAGUCCAAUCACCGGGAGAAAUCCAAUGAACAAUCACAAUGGAGACACACAAUGUUCUCCCGAGGUUCACGUGUUUGGCAGCAUGCUACGUCCGCGUUGUGUCGACGAACACUUGGUGGUUCGAUGGCUAAGAGGUGUAGCAUGAACCUUGUCCUCACUAGGACACACCAAGAACCGACCCACAAGUGAGGUAGCUCAAUGACACGAGCAAUCCACUAGAGUUACCUUUCGGCUCUCGGCCGGGGAAGGUACAAGACCCCUCACAAUCACCGAGAGAUGGCCACGAACAAUCACCAACUUGUGCCAAUGCUCCUCCGCUACUCCAAGCCGUCUAGGUGGCGUCAACCACCAAGAGUAACAAGAAAACUGCAGCCAAAACGAUCCCAGGUGCCACUAGAUGCAAUCACUCAAGCAAAUGCACUUGGAAUCACUCCCAAUCUCACAAAGAUGAAUAAUCUAAGAAGGAGAUGAGUGGGAAGUGUUUGCUUAGGCUCACAAGGAUGUCAAGUAUGCUAGAAUACCAAGAGGGUGAGCCCUAAGCCGGCCAACACGUAUUUAUAAGCCCCUCAAACAAAUAGUGUCAUUGGCUCUUUCACUAGGCAGAAAACGGAGCCACCAGACGCUCUUCAUGUUACACCGGACGCGUCCGGUGCCUGGAACAAUUCCACCGUUUGAAAUCCAACCGUUACCGCCAACGUGAGUCUCCCUAUGGUCGCAGCACCGGACUCACAGUGAGUCCACAACGGACUCGUCUAGUCCUCAAUGAACUUUAACCCAGAGAGCUCUACAAGUGAAAAGAGCACCGGCCUCUUACCACCGGACCGUCCGGUGCUCACCGUUCUUAAACCCAGAGAGCAGUGCAAAAGCGUAGACCACCAGACUCUCCUCACCGGACACGCCUUGAGCGUCCGGUGCUUCCAGUCAAACACACCAGGUGAAGUCAAGUCACAGCAAACGCACCAACAGGAUCUCUCCUGCGUCCGGUGUCUAACCCUAGUAGAGCCAGGCACUACCUGCACACCGGAUGCAGAGACACAGCAUACGAUGCCUCUGGGCCAGCGUCCGAUGAGUGUUUCUCCCGCGACUUCUCCAAAUUUCCCACCAGUGCAAUAGACAAUAUGCACUUCAUUUUCUCAAAAAGCACCGAGCCCAUCCUCUCUCUACCCUUCAAACUCCACCUCCUUCUCAAAGUGUGCCAACACCACAAAGUGUGUACCAACAAGUGCACGUGUAUUAGAAUUUUCACAAUCAUUUUCUUUGAAUGAGUUAAGUUAGCUCACUAGGUUCUAAAUGCAUGCACAUGAAUAAUGACACCUAGUGGCACUUGAUAACCGCUUAGCCAAAGAAUUCGCCUCUUUAUAGUACGGCUAUCUAUCCUAAAUGUGAUCACACCCUCUAUAGUGUCUUGAUCACGAAAACCAAAACCCUAAGCAAUACCUUUGCCUUGUUCUCCAUAGGGUUUUGUUUUUCUCUUUCUUCUUUUCCAAGUUGAGCACUUGAUCAUCUUGUGGCCAUCACCAUGAUCAUUUCUUGCUCCAUCACUUGGCAUGUACCAACCUCAUUAAGUAUACACAGACUUAGUAUAGAGGUUAGUACAAGGGUUUCAUCAAUUAUCCAAAACCAAACUAGGGUUGUCACCUAGUUGGUGAAAACACGACUCUUGAGGAGAAGAUCUGCGGUAAGGCUUCUAUGCUCUUAUGUUUUCUUUGUUUGUGCGAUGUUCCUUUUCUAUCGUCUGAUUCCUUAUUUCGAUCUCUGCAGGGCUUAAGGAUGUUUGGCUGGUAGCCCAGGUUGACUCCUAGUCUCUUAAGGCGUAGCUCGAGGGAGAGGUCAUGUUGAUAGGUUGACUAAGAACAGCGAUCAACGACCUCUCGACCUCUUGGGAGCUCGAGCCUGCAAACAAGGCGGGGGAGACGGCUCGAGGUGAUGCUCUGGUCGACCAGCUAUGCUACCUUGGCGCCACUCUGAGGGACCGAGUGCGAGACGCACUCCAUACUAGGGUGAAGUGGGCUAUGGAGGUCGUAUGCUCGGGCUUCUCCUAUGAUAUGGAGGUAGUGUCCUACGGCUUCGUCACCGACAUCUCCAAGACCGAUGCUGAGAAUGAGGAGAGGCGCCAUGCCUUGAUCGACAAAGUAGAGGUUCCUAGCGAGAGGCUGGCGAAGCUGUUCGAGCCAGAGGUGCUCCCUCGUGAAGCCGGCGCGGGCACAGAAGAUGGGGGUGAGGGUGGAGAUGAUGACUAAGGCCUGUGGGCCUAAUUUGGGUACUUAGACCCAUUGUAAUAUAUUUAGUACUUGUCUUAGAUAAGCAUUGUGGCCCAAGUGGCCUUAAGACUCAUGGUUUCUAUAAAUACUUGUUAUUUUUAUGCUCGAGCUUCUUUUAUUGCUUUGUUGCCUAAGUUCAUGUUCCUCGAUUGCUCUUUUUGUUAAAAACGACCUCGAUUCCCUCGAGGCUAGGGGAGUGAGUAGAGUUACCGUAGCCCAGAGGUGUAGGGAUUCUCAGGCUCGACGUCCCCCGGCCCUUAAGGGGCUCGAGACGUCUUUACUCAAUCGCGCGGGAUUUCCAUAGGGCUUAAAAGGGAAAAGAUAGCGUGGAGCUUUUUGAAAAAUUGUUCGAUUUUUAGGAGCCCGUGGGGUUCCCCCCUGCUAGCCCCUAAGGGAGUUUUGACUAUGAUGGGUCAUAGUCGAGUCUUCCUCCUAAUCUCAAGAUUUAAUGGUAACAUUGUGUAUUACUUGGAGAAGUACUUUCAUUCAUUCAAAUAUUCAUUCAUGGAGCCUCAAUGGUACAAGAUGUGUGUGAAAUGUAAAGCCUCAAAGCUCUAGAGGUAGAAGCAACAUAGCUGUUCGAUGUUCCAUGUGUUGGUGAAGACAGCCCCCUUUUCAUCCGCGAGCUUGUACGUCCCGGGCUUCAAGACCUCAGCCACCACAUAUGGACCCUCCCAAGGUGGAGUCAGCUUGUGGCGUCCUUGAUUGCUUUGCCAUCGAUGUAGGAUGAGGUCGCCCACAUUCAGGUGCCUCUUGCAUACGUGCCUGUCGUGGUAGCGUCAGAGCUUCUACUGGUACCUUGCUGAGUUGAGGAGGGCCAUGUCUCGAGCUUCCUCGAGUUGGUCGACCGCGUUAUCUUGAGUCUCCUUGUUUGUCUGCUCAUUGUAUGCUUUGAGUCGAGGUGACCCAUACUCGAGGUCUGUUGGAAGCACGGCCUCAGAGCCAUAGACCAUGAAGAAUGGGGUGUAUUUCGUGGCUCUGCUCGGCAUCGUUCUUAAGCUCCACAGGACCGAGGAGUGUUCCUCGACCCAUUUCUUGCCGAACUUCUUCAACUGGUUGUAGAUUCUAGGCUUGAGCCCUUGCAAAAUCAUGCCGUUGGCAUGCUCGAUCUAGCCAUUAGUUUGAGGGUGAGCUACUGCAAACCAGUUCACACGGAUGUGAUGCCGAUCAUAGAAGUCCCCGUGAACUGUGUGCCAUUGUUGGGGAUGAUGACGUUGGGUAUCCCAGAUCAAUGGAUUAUGUCAGUGAAGAAGAGGAUGGCUUGCUCGGAGUGAAUGUUAGUGAUGGGUCGAGCUUCGAUCCAUUUUGAGAAUUUAUCGAUGGCUACUAGCAGAUGGGUAUACGCACGAGAUGCUUGUUGAUAUUUGUUAACGCCAUCAGAAAAUGAUCCGCAAGCGCAUGGAUAUCGGUGAGCACUUCACCCGGGAGGUUAUCCAGAGUAUCGUAUUUAUAUUUUUACCACUGGGAGAAAGCGUGCAUCUGACUAAGCAAAUCUAUUGCUACUACCAUUUAGGCUACAAACAAUGUGAUUUGAUGUGAGCGAUGUAUAGAGAAGACUACAACCGCACUCUCGUUCUAACCUUGGUAAGGAUGAUCUACUGUUCUAUUAGGGAGGCUUACGGAAUCUAGACACCACAAAGGAUGUUCGACCCGCACCUAUAAACCCUACCGAUCCUACUAACGGGAUUGUGGGCUAAAAAGGUAGCUACAGAAAUGUCAUGUUCCUCGCUACUACCACGGUCCUGCUAGAUAGGGGAUAUCUAUGAGUACCCUAGCCCAAACACCACGUUUACGCUAGCAAUGAUUACUCUAAACUCUACCGAAAGAGAUUAAAGUAAACUCAUAAACCAAAGAACAAUAAGAACAAAGAACUUACUAGAAUUUAGAAGUCGAAAUACUAAAGAAUCAUAGGAGCAAGCCUCGGGUUAGGAGACUUGAUCCCGCAGGUACAACCUCGGAGUAGACACUGACAGGCCGGGCUUCCUCUGAUCUAUACCUCCACUCUAUCUCUCUCAAUCUAAAAGAACUAAUUCUAAUCUCACAUUGGAUGCUAAGCCCUAUGAGGUUGGAACCCUAGAGGGACCUCUCUCUCUGAAUCCUCUCUAGAAAAUAUGCCAAUGAAUAAUGGGAUUGCCCUCCUCUAGGGGCCAGGGGGCCUGCUUAUAUAGCCCCUCCAAAUGAACGUGGGUCGUUGGAUCAAACCGACCUAAUCACACUGUUUUCCUUAAUCGUUUAGGUCGGUGGAGCAAAAUCCGUGAGACGAGACUUGAUUGGUCCCUCUAGCAGGGCGGGCACCCUAGGGGGGAGGGCGGGCGCCCUACCCCCAGGCCCGCUCGGCCUCCCGUUCGUUCCCAUGGCUUCUGGACUCUUCUAGAUGAUUGAAAAUUGUGCAGCACGUUAAUAUCUCUAUGUAAACCCAACGUGUGGGCCUUUCCUCCAUAUUUCCUCAUAACCCCCUGCAGAAAUAGACGAACACCAAAACUUGUGGAAUUCUGUCACAUAAAACCCUAAGUCUGGGUAUUGGUUGCAUUUGGAUCAUUUUCUUUAUUUAUUUGAUGAUUAUAUUUGGUACUUAAGGACCGUAAACAACUCCCCCAAGCUUACCUCUUGCUCGUCCCUAAGCAAGGAUGGACUCAAGAGUUUCUGCAGUGGUUUCAUGCCUUAAAAGUACACAUGCGUUCAAGCAAGAUCUCAUCUCUGAGUUAGAGUAAACUGUUAAGACUUAAAACUUACUCAUUUUACCUUUCACCAUGGGGCUUGCAACCGUCACUUGUGUCUUGAGCAGUUAAAAGAUAGAACAGUCUAGUCAAGCGUCAUGUCUCUUGUUAUUUGAUCAGUAUAGCUCUAGAGUUUUUGCAGAUUUUCAAAUAAAACUCAGAGAUUCCUUGUAUGACUCUCUCAAAUCUCUCUUUUGUGGUAUUUUUAGAUCCUUUCCAAGGCAAUAAUGGUAUAUGCCUUCUCUCAAAGUAUGUGGUAUUUUUGGUAUGAGGCAUAGUGAUAUUGCCUUCUCUCUCACCCUACUCUAAUAAGGUUUUGAUAUCUGGAGCUCAUAGGUGGGAGAUAAAGCAUACAUACUUACAAGACAUUUAUUGCAUAGUCAAACCAUGGAUCCAGAGAAACAAGUCAAUAAGUCAAAUCAAGAUGUGCAUGUGUGGCGAGUGAAUGGUGUAUGGUGAUGAUGGUGAUAACAAUGGUGAAAGUCUAAUUCUACUUUUGCUCUUUUUAGGGGAUACAUACCUUUCUUGCUCUUUUGAAACUUUUUGAGGAGAAUGAGAUGCUCUACAUUUUCUUUUUCUUUCCUCUCAGGUGGGUAUCUUGUACCCCUAAUUAUACUGUCGGACACUUAUCCAUUUUUACGUCUCGUCUCACUUUUUCUUUUCUUUCGAGGUUCUGGGCACUUGUCCCUUUUUAUUUCCUCAUAUCCUUUCUCUUUUUUUAAGCACUCAUCUCCUGAAAUAAUAUAGCAAGUGGUAGUAACCAAGAUAACUCGAGCAUUUAUUUUACAGGUAAAAACAGAAAUAGGAGAAUGUUUUUUGGCUAUUCUCUCCCGGAUGAGGAGUAUAAUACUUUUGGGUGGUUCUGGAGAUGGGAAUGAGUGGAUAUAUGUGGAUGCGUACUUCAGGAGUAGAAGCAGCAUGUGUGAGUGAACGUGCAAGUGAAUCUUGAUUUUAACCGCAUGACAAGCUCCUAAGGGUCUACACAACUUGACCACACUCAAUGCUCAUAAGCAGUAAAAAGUAAAUAUAUGGUUCAUAGUCUAAUAAGCAUGUAUAUAUGGCUGUGGUAGGAUUUUAAACUCUCAUCAUACAGGAACUCAUCAUGCAAUAUUUUAAAGAUUUUCAAAGAUAAAAUUCUCCAGAUUUCUAGCAUCUCUAGGAAUAGAUAAACAGCAGCUCAACCUUCCCAUAUCAUAUCCGUUAACGACUUAGACUUUAGAUCAAGUACUCUUCCCACAAGUUCAGGUUUAGAGCAGGUUUAAAUUAUAACAGUUAUGCCUAAACUUGAGAGAGAGCUCAAACUUGAAAACUAGGUACAUGGCAGAGCAACUAUUUAUCAUAUCCAUGUAAGAGUUUAUCAUUUAAGUUCAGUUUGGCCUAGACACUUUAUUUAUUUAUUUAGCAAACUAAGCAAAGAUAUAUAUAAGCAAAAAAAAAUUUAUUUGGGUUUUCAUGAUUAUGCAUCUUUUUAUUAUUUGAGUAAAGUAUAAACGCGAGUAGAAACACUUAGCUGGAUAAAUGGGGGUGCUCUCCCCCAAGCUGAAUUUUGACGUAAUUUCUUCUCAUGUAGCUAGCAGAUGACGGAGGUGUAUUUGAAUGUCGGCAACACCCUGACAGCGAUUACUAUGUCCUCUGCCGGCUAGUCUUCUUUGAUCCUUGAAUUUUGUGGAGCUCAAGUAGACAACAAAGCUUUGUGGAACUGGUUAAGUGUUAGCAUAAAAUCUCUUAGCCUUUAUCAUAUAGAGAUUCCUCCUAAUAAAUUUUAUUUAUUUAGCAGGAGCAUGCACUUAUUAUUUUUAUAUUUUUAUUGUAAGAUGAAAACAUAUUUAUUUUAUGCCACCACAGUCAAUAUACCUAUCGGUUUUAAACCACAAGUCUACUCACAUGGGGCUUUAGAUUUUAUGAUGCAGUGCAACGAACAAAUAUUUUUGUUGUCUUUUCUAAUGCUAAUGUGGAAAAGUAAAUAUGUUAAUGCAAGUGAUGGAAUAAAAAGGAAAAGGAAUGCAGAAAAGAUAAAUAUGGAUAAAUACCGAUUUUACCUUCCGGCAAGGAUCUAAUGUUUUAAGUCUUCUGGACAAGACUUCUCACCGUGUUCAUCCUUUAGGUGCAUCAUUUGAUUAGGUGUGGGCCUUGACAUCUGCAUCUCUUGAUACGGUGUCAUCCAUGUUCUUUGUUUGUCCAGCAGAUCGAGGUGCGGCAUUGGCAGCAUCCUACUCAGUGUGUUUGUGCUCUUAGAUCCAACUCCUUCACUUGGUGGAAUCUGGGAGUUGUAAAACUCCUUCAGGUUUUGCUCGAAGUGUACCUGCUCAUAGAGACAAGGUAGAGAUCAAGUGCAUGGGCCCUAUUGGUGAAAAACACCAACAGAACCAAAAGUGUAUUUGUUCUUCAAGACAAAGUUGAUGGAUAAUAAGAUCAUGAGUGUAGCAUUUAAAACAUUUGUCAGAUCAAAUCGCUCGACCUAAUGGAAAGAUAAUCUAUCUAUAUUUAUGUUUUUUAUAUCUUUCAAAGAUUGAAUGUGCAACAUUUUAGCUUAUAUGAUUAGGAGUGUGGGAUUAUGAAGGUAGUACUAAGAACAAAUAUUAGAGGACUAAACAUGUUGAAUUAAUUGGGUUGGUUAAUUUAUGUUUGUCUCUUUAUUCAUGUGAACGCCAGAACCAAGGAGAAGCUUAUAAAAGUGAUAGCCAAGUACCUUAAGAUGUUACCUUACAUGAACAGUGAUGGUACAGUAUCACCUUCUGGAAGCUUUCCUUUCUUAGCGGUUGUGCACCGUGUUUGUGGCACUCUUUGUCUUGUUCCAUGGAUCAUCUCUCUAUGAUGAAUGAGUUAUGUCUUCCUUGCGCAAAUCGUUAAACUUCAUGUGUCUCCUUUGUCUCCAAUGUGAGUUUGUAUCUCAGGACUUCCCAGGUUGAUACUGAAAGUUUUCCUGCAGGGGUUAGUUUGACAAAAUAUACCAAUGUCUACUCAAGCAUUUUUUAGUUCAGUAACCAAACUAGACUCCAUGUCUAAUCAAAUUAAGGAAGGCCAUUUAACCUAAGCACCACGCUUAAUUUAAAUGCCAAUGGAAGUAUGUCGAGUACUUCCAAACCAACACAUGCUUGUGAAUAGACAAAGGUAGCAUGACAGCAUUUAUAGAGAUCUACUCAGGUGGAGAUGAAAAAUAAGUUUAGUGUUUUGAAAAAUUGAGCAUGCCUCAAAAGCAGGGACAACCAACAUAGCAACAUGGCAAAGGAUGUUCUUAUGUAAGGUAUUUCCCCCAAGCUUGAAUUUUGCAAAAUUCAAGAUUGGAUGAAUUUAAUUCAAUGUUGCAUGAUGAUUGGUUGGGCAUACCUUGCGCUUGUCAUUCCUCGGAUCUUCUUGCACCAAUCCUAGAAAGCUUAGUGACACGAAUACCCGAAGGAAUAUUUCUACAAUUAUCUUUAUAUGCUUAAUACACAAGGCAAUGUUGCAAAUAAUUAAAAGUUCAUGUUAUGAUCUGAUAAGUGCUUGUUUUAGGACACUAAGCUUGUCCUUGGGAAACAAUCAAAUUAUGUUGGUGAAGUGGUUUCCCCUUCAACACCAACCUAAGCAUGCCUAUAUCAAGAUUGACUCAACGAUACCUGCAAUAUUUAUUAUAGACAUAUGCAUCGAUAACAACCCCUUUUAAGUUUUUAUAAAUAGAAAGGAAGAGGGGGUUGGAGAUCUCAAAUGUGGUAAGGUUGGAGAGACGAAUUGAUUGGGGAGAUGUUUUAUAUCAGCAAGGACUUGGUAAGGUAUUUAUGAAAUAACUUCCAUGCUCACUGUUGUUUCUCUCAUUCUCAAACUCCAAGGAUGAUUCUUCAUGAAUGCUUAAAAUUCCUCUAGGAUUGUCUCUCAAGUUUGUUUUAUCCAUCCAUUCAAUGGUGAUAGCACAUGGAUUUUUAAUGCCCUCUAGCCAUUGAUGUUGCUCUUCUCGAUCCUCCUUGUGGUCUUGGUGACUCUUAUGCAUGGGAUGGCUAGAGAGAUUCAUAGGAUCAUCGGGAGGUUCAAGAGAAAGAGCAUAGUAGGAAUUAUUAGGCUCAAGGAUGGGUUUAAAGAUAGGUUCGAAUGAGUCAUCAAAAGUGGACGUAGAAGGGGAGAAGAUGAGAUUGUCUUCUAAAUGGCUUCGCUCUCCUUCUAUUGCAUCACUUAAGAUGCCAUCCUUGAGUCUUUCUAGAUGUCCAUCAAAAGGAUUGGAUUUGAGAUGCUUUCUAAGAGAUCCCUUCUUAGGAAGGUUCAGACUAUAUGCAGUCAAAGGUCUCUUAUGAAGCAGGAAGUUUAAGCUCAUCCCAAAAUGAAUUUCCAAAGGUAGAAUUUCUUCUUCCCUUAGAUGAUUUUGGAGCACUACUAGUUUGGGUUGGAUAGCUGAAUCAUGGGAUUGAAAUGUAUGGAAAUCGGCUAUUGAAACUUCCUUUCCUCGUCUCAGAGAUGAUUCCUUCUCUAUCUCUAGGAUUUUUUUAUGAAGACUAGUGCAAGAAGGAUGUCCACGAAUGAAGACAUACCUUGCUUUACUAACAAAUAAAGAAAGAAAAACUCUACCAAAGGUUAUAUGAUUAAGAUCAAUGUGAAAAUAUCGAGGAAAAACAUGGUCUUGUAGGGCUAGGUCUAAAUCAGAAUUUAUAGAAAGAUUAAAAGAUUCCCUAGGUGUAGCUAAAAGUUCAUUAUCUUCUUGAUUAAAAGAUAGCACAUUGGCUAUAGAAAAGGGUUGGUUUUGACCUAUUGCAAUCAACUCCGGACACAGAUCGUAAUUAGGGGCAAAGAAAGGACUUGUUCACUCCCAUGGUCUAUGGCUGGUCUCCGAAGGUGCAAAAAAUUCAAUAAUAGGUGUGGAAUUUGAGUUAUCCAUCAAGAUGGAAAAAAUAAAAAGAUAAAAGAAUAAAAGUAUAAUACAAGAUAAUAGCAAGACUCAAAGUUAUCUCAGCAAACCGUCUUUCUCCCCGGCAACGGCACCACAAAUGCUUGUUGAUAUUUGUUAACGCCAUCAGGAAAUGAUCCGCAAGCGCACGGACAUCGGUGAGUACUUCACCCGGG